This is a long non-coding RNA of Chelonus insularis, 752 nucleotides long. RefSeq lists it as uncharacterized. NCBI's taxonomy places the organism in Eukaryota, Metazoa, Arthropoda, Insecta, Hymenoptera, Braconidae. The record is from RefSeq and is a predicted model, not a curated record. The transcript is spliced from 4 exons.
GCAGUGGCUUAGUGGUCAACGCACGGUUCUGUGGUCGCCCAAGUCAAGCGGUUGGAUAAGUAACCACUUAACCGGACUCAUGGCUCUUUAGUUCUACGGCCAAUUCCUUCAGCAAAGAAAAAAAAAGUAACAUCUAAUAUGGAGGUACUGAAGUUUCAUCGAGGCAGCAGUCAUCUUUACAUAAAAUGCACGAAUAUCGCUGAGCGUUACGACGUUAUUAUACGAAUCUGAAACUAUACUAGGGGAUUUUGGUGAAAAAUAAAAGCUGGAUGGUUCGCGAGACCAACAGAUGUCCAAGAUGAUGGUGCUGUCUAAGUAUAAAAUCGUGCGACACUUGAGAAGACAAGACAAAGACCGUCUACGACUCUGUGUUAUCUUCAUUACAAAUUGUGAGAGCUCCAGCAAGAAAAAAAAAGGAGGGUGGAAAAUCUGAGAGGGAGAAUCUUGAAAAAAGAUGGUCUCUUAAGAAGUCUGAAGAUAAUGCGAUGAGGAUAAGUGCGGCACGUCGUCUAGGUUGCACUCGGAUCAAGAAAAAGAAGAAGAGUAAAGAAGAAAGAGAAAUAAGAAGGUUACAACAGAAGAGAAACUUACGGUGGAUACUGAGGAGAUGAAAGACGAAGAAAUUAUUUCAAGAGUUUUUUGCAAAUCAGCUGAGAAAUGUAUUUUAAACAAUCGUAAUGGAAGGAGAAAAAUUAACUUGAUAACAAUAAUUUCAAUUGAAAAAAUUGAUCAAACAAAAAGAAGAAAAUAAU